This 497-nucleotide ribosomal RNA is filed under the name uncultured bacterium. Its description in RNAcentral is "partial 16S ribosomal RNA". It matches the Rfam family "Bacterial small subunit ribosomal RNA", at positions 28 to 507 of the family's 1533-position model. The record is from RNAcentral.
GAUGAACGCUGGCGGCGUGCCUAAUACAUGCAAGUCGAGCGAACAGACGAGGAGCUUGCUCCUCUGACGUUAGCGGCGGACGGGUGAGUAACACGUGGAUAACCUACCUAUAAGACUGGGAUAACUUCGGGAAACCGGAGCUAAUACCGGAUAAUAUAUUGAACCGCAUGGUUCAAUAGUGAAAGACGGUUUUGCUGUCACUUAUAGAUGGAUCCGCGCCGCAUUAGCUAGUUGGUAAGGUAACGGCUUACCAAGGCAACGAUGCGUAGCCGACCUGAGAGGGUGAUCGGCCACACUGGAACUGAGACACGGUCCAGACUCCUACGGGAGGCAGCAGUAGGGAAUCUUCCGCAAGGGGCGAAAGCCUUACGGAGCAACGCCGCGUGAGUGAUGAAGGUCUUCGGAUCGUAAAACUCUGUUAUUAGGGAAGAACAAAUGUGUAAGUAACUAUGCACGUCUUGACGGUACCUAAUCAGAAAGCCACGGCUAACUACGUG